RNAcentral lists this ribosomal RNA (589 nucleotides) under Pneumocystis sp. Its description in RNAcentral is "SSU rRNA". It matches the Rfam family "Bacterial small subunit ribosomal RNA", at positions 957 to 1284 of the family's 1533-position model. The record is from RNAcentral. Lineage: Eukaryota; Fungi; Ascomycota; Pneumocystomycetes; Pneumocystales; Pneumocystaceae.
ACCCACGACAAAUCUUACCACUUCUUGCAUAUUCUAGUUCGUUAAAGUGAAGAUAAUUUAAUUUAUUUAUAAAUACUAUAACUAUAGUAUUCUGAAUGGAUUUUAACUUCCCUUAACAACACUUGAAUACAGGUGUUGCAUGGCUGUCUUUAGUUCGUGUUGUGAAAUGUUAGGUUCAUUCCGUGAACGAACGCAAUCCUUAUCUUUAAUUACAAUUAUAUUCCAUUCGAUGAAUGAAUACGAAAGUUGAAUUCAAUUUAAUUCAACUUUAAAAUGAAUGAGUUUAAUUAAAAUGAAUGAAUUAGUUGUUUAAUAAGUUCAAAUUCAUUUAUUGGUUGAAACGUUUUAAUUCCUUCAAUUCUUAUUUUAUUUUAAUAUAAUUUAAAAUGAAUGAAUUUAAUUUAAAUUGUAAGUAACUAAUUUCAAUUGAAUUAAUAUUAACUAAAAUUAAAGAAGUAUCUUUUGAUAAGAAAGAAUAAUUAGGACGAAGACAAGUCCUCAUGACCCUUAUGGAGUGGGCUACAGACGUGCCACAAAGAUUUCUACAAUGGGAAGCAAAGAUCCAAGUCCGAGCAAAUCCUUAAAAGAA